CUUUCCUCGAACCCUCUUUCCUUAACCUUCUUCGCUUUUCUCUCUUCUCUGAGCUUCUUCCCCAUCUUUACUCCUCCUUAUGCUUUUCCUUCAAUUCGACGUGAACUUCUUGAUCCCUCCUUCGAGCUUUUUCUUUGCUUUCAUUAGUGCGUGCUUGUGGCUUUUCCCCUUCGUCUUGAACGCUAUCUUCCUUUCAGGUUUGCUCUCAUCUUUCAGAUUUCGUCUUCCUCGAGCUUCCUCUUUCCACUCGAGAGCUCCUCAUUCACAAGCCAUUUCUCUUCACACAAUCUUUUCUUCUUUCAUAUUUAGCUUUUCCAUAGCCUUUGCAACCAUAGAACGUUUGUUCUACCGAUUCAUUAGUCGAUCUACAUCUCUCGUUAGGGCUCCAACCUCUUUUCACCAUUUUCUUCAUUUUCAACCGAUUAAAUCCUCUUUUCUAUCGAUUAAAAGCCUUUCCACCGAUUGAUUCUUUGAUUACCAUCAUUUACACCGAUUAAUCGAUCCAUUUUAGGUUUCCUUCGUCAACCUAGGGUUUUAGGGUUCUUCGCGUCGAAUCCUCUCCGUUUUUGGAGUAUUCCUGGAUUCUCAGGGUUUGUUUUCGUUCUCCACUGAUUCGGCUCUUGGUCUCGAGUUCUCUUGCCAAUUUACAUCAUUCCGCUGCGUUUCUUCAUCGGAGGUGCCUCAUUACAGUUUAAAUCGCGCCUUCAGGCCUUCAUACAAUGAUAUUUGUAUUACCGAUGUUGCGUUUAGGGAGGAUUCAGAGGGCUUUUAAGAUGAGAUCAGCAGAUGAAGGACAAACUACUUUCUAUACAUGUACCCGUUGUGGUCAUCAAUCUCAGGAGAAUUAGUUGUUUACUUUAAGGCUAUCUUUGGAAGGAAUGUACAGGAAAAAUAGAAUGAUCUUUAAGGUUAUUUUGUUCUGAGCACCUGACCCCACUAAGAUUGUUAUCUGGAACUUGGUUAUUAAUUAAUAAGCCAUUUUACCUUAAAUUUCUUUUCUAUAUCAGCUAUAAAUAAUUAAGACUACCUGGAGAAAUGGCGUAGCAAUGCAACCCAAGUAGGCUAGAUUCAACAUAAAAAUUGGGUUGUCUACUCUGUCGAACAUGAAGGUUUUUUGUGGCUUGUAAUAAAAAAGUAGCUUUAGUGUGUAGCCUUACUUUAUGAAAUCAAAUUGUGUAAAAUAUGAAUUACCAAGAAAAUUAUCCUCUGAUUUGGUUUCAAGAAGAGGAGAAAAACUGUGAAUAAUAUAUCAUUCAAAGCAGAAUUAUAUCUGUUAGUUUGUACAUUCCCUACCUUUAGGUGAUACUAAAAGUUCAUAUAUUUGCAGGAUGGUAAGACCUUACGCAAUGGACCUGUUAUUUCUCCUGACAGAUUUUAUUGAGAAGGAUUGUAAUUGAGAUGCUUGAAGUGAAAAUUAGAGAAUUUGUGUGCAAUUUCAACAAUGUAUUGGAAGAGAUAUCAUUAUCCAAACAAAAUCUUUCCACGCCUCUUGAUUGUAUGAAAAAUCGUAAAUUUGAUAUUGGUUUAGUGAUAGAGAGAAUCCAAGAUUUAAUAUCAGAAGAGGAUAAGAGGUUGAUCUAUCUUGGAGAUGGAAGUGGAGACUAUUGUCCAAGUUUGAGGUUGAAAGAGAAGGACUUUAUGAUGCCAAGGAAGAACUUUGCAUUGUGGGAUCUGAUAUGCAGAGAUCCUUCACUUCUUAAGGCUGACAUUCAUGAUUGGAGUGAUGGAGAAGAACUUGGAGAUGGAAGUGGAGACUAUUCUCCCUUCAUUUCCUCUUAUUGCAAGCUUCAGACUCUGUCAGUCACUCUGCUCAUGAGGCUUUGCCCAAAGCUCUACCAGUUCGACCAUAGUUUCAUAGUUUUGUAACUUUUGCAAUGGACCAAAGUAGAAUAUAACAUGACUAAUUUUUGUCUCAAUAGUAUAAUAGUAUAUAUUGCAUAGUCAGUUACCUCUGCCGUAAUUUCUGUAAUAUCCUAUAACAAUCUAGUUACAAUGAGGUAGGACCAUCCAGUUGUAAACAUCACGUUUUAAUAAAAAUUGAGAUAUAUUUGGUAUUAUUUUUUAUAA
RNA transcript from Vigna angularis (adzuki bean), 2067 nucleotides. It is a transcript of the gene named inorganic pyrophosphatase 2-like, with no coding region annotated. The record is from RefSeq and is a predicted model, not a curated record. Lineage: Eukaryota; Viridiplantae; Streptophyta; Magnoliopsida; Fabales; Fabaceae. The transcript is spliced from 4 exons.